CCGGCUCUAAUGCUGGUAGAAGGUUUAAAGGGUGUCAAAGACGUCAGCUGCAUCCAUUUUAACUCAGAUUCUCAGAUUUAUUCAAUUAGUUCGGUGAAGAUUAAACUGAUUAUAAGUUGUCGUCAUCCCAUUAAAUUGUCUCUCAGGCAGAAUUUAGCAUUACCAUCUAUUGGACACUGAGGUGACUGAUCCUGAACUGGUCUCAUCAAUGAAGCAUAUGCCAAGGAACUCUUGGAUGUCCAAGAAGCCAAAAAUUAAUAUUUCGUGGAUUCCCAAAAUGAAAAAGAAUUGUCAGAUAAGAGGAACUUCAAAGGAACUACUCAGGGCCUGUGCCCUGACCUCAGGAAGUAGUUAAAGUUCACUUAUGAAACAAAUGCCUAAAUAUGCCUAUGUCAACACAAGAGCAACAAUACUGUCGCUAUGUGACUGCAUCAACGAAUAGGAUUAGGGAGAAUGCAAACAGAGCCUCUCAAAACUAAAAAACAAACAGCUCUUGAAAUCAGAAGCUGUCGUUUAAGACAAUAGCUUCUGCCAAACUGUAGCAGAAGGAAAUCAACUACAGCCCUGUGGUCAUGGAUCCAAUAUGAAAGGCAGGGCGAAGUUCAUCCUCUGAUUCGGCAAGCAGGGCUUUGAUGUACAGUUUGUGCUAACAUCAACGGCUGUUAGAAAUACUCUGUGCACCGGACAGAAGGGCCUCCCUGCCCGGCUUUAUCUGAAAACGGAUACAGCAUGUCACUUUAGACGUUCCAGUUCCCUCUGCUCAGUGAUCACCAGAGGCGCUCGGCAUUCUUUGAGGUUGGUGUCAACUCCACAAGAUAUUGAUGCCCCCAGUCUGCCCGGUAGGAGGGCAGUCAGGGGGACCUCGCUUCACUGGAGAAUGCCAUUGAUGACCUUACAAAUGGCACACCAGAAAGGAAAACCUUGCUGGACUGAACAAACCAAAUAAGGAAUGACAUUCAUCACUUAAUUCCAUUCCAACACUUUAUUGGAAAGUGGUCAAUCUUCAAAGCAUUUCUCUCUCCCCUCCCAAAUAUCUUCCUCUCUUUUCCUGAAAUGACCUGACAAUGUCAAGAUUCCACUGGCACCAAAAAAGGCCUUUAGGAACUUAACCGAGUAAGGUAAUCUUCAAUGGUGUGAUCCCAGCUCCCCAAGUAUGAAUACUUUACCUGCGUGUGUCGAUGAGACCUCGACAAAGCAUGCAACUUCUGACAAAAGGUUUCAUAAUUUAACAUCUGGAGUGCAGAUAACAUACUACACUCUUUCCACAGCCAAUACAUACAGCCCAGAGUAUGGUGCAGAGACCUGCUCAUGGCACACCAGGUGAGAUCUAAGCAUGGCUUUGGAUAGCCCAAGCAUGACUCCUACUCUUCGUAUUCUAGAUUUGAAGGUUAUCAUUCUAUUGGUCUUUAUGAUUUUUUUUGUCUACCUGCUGUGAUAUUUUAAUGAUCUAUGCCACCCAGACUCAACCAAGGCUCCACAGUUUCUGUAUUUUUCAUCAUUUGGAUAGAAUCUUGUUCCAUCCCUUACUAAACAAAGGGGCAACUUGGCUCAGUUUCAGAGAAACUGGGAAAAUAAGAACAGCAAUAGGCCAUUCGGCCCUACGAGCCUGCUCUGCCAUUCAGCAUAAUUGCAGCUGAUCAGCCCCCCUUUUCCUGCUUUCUCCACAAACUCUUUGAUCCCUACAAACUACAUCUAAACUUCUUUUUGAAAGCAUUCAAUGUCUUUGGCCUCAAAGACUAUCUGUGGCAGAGAAUUCCACAGGCUCACCACUCUCUGGGUGAAGAAAUUUCUCUUUCUCUCAAUCCAGCUGAACUUUGGUCUUGAGACAAAAAGGGUCAGCCAUCUUGGAUUGAGAUGUGCAAGAGGUUUCUCCCUCCAUGGAGAUCCUGAAUUUCUCCAGCAUCUACGGUGUUUGUUUCAGAUUUCAGAAACUGUCAUAUUUUGGUUCUGUUGAGGAGUUCUUCCCUCAGAGAGGUAAAUAUUUAGAAUUCUCAUACCCAAAUAGCCGUGGAAACUCAGCGUAUGAGUUAUUCAUGGCGGAGAUUGCUUGACAUUCUUAGGCACUAAAUAAAUCACAGGACAUGGUGAUAGGUCGAUAGAGAAAUUUACUCAUCAUUUAUCCUAUAGAAGGAUAGAGGAGGCUUGCAUGUUUGUAUAGUCCACUUCUAUUGCUGUUUUUAAAUAAAAUGUAUAGUGGUGUAAUCUUGAGGAAUUGCACGUCAGUGUCACACCAAGGACCCUGUAUCCUCUGAUUAAAGCAAAACAUUGCAGUUUCUAAACUGGAUGAUAGGUAAUUUUUUUUAUUGAAAGGAAAAUAUGGUUUCAAGGCCAGCUGGAAAUGCAUCAGGUCUUAACUAGUUAUUGACAAAAUAAAGUUAUAAAGUCUUGGCAAAGGAACUAGAGGGGAGUUAGCAGAAGUGUUCAAAAAAUAUAAAAGGUUUUUAUUGAGUAAAUAAGCAGAAACGGUUUCAUCCAUUAGGAAGGCUGGCAAUCAGGAAGACAGAAUAAACAUAACUGGUAAUGGAGCCAGAGGUGAGGCAAGAAAAAUCUUUCUUAAGGGUAAAAACAAUGACUGCAGACGCUGGAAACCAGAGUCUAGGUUAGAGUGGCGCUGGAAAAGCACAGCAGGUCAGGCAAUGCUUUUCCAGCACCACUCUAAUCUGGAGUCAAAUCUUUAAGGGAUGGACUUUGCAGAUAUAGCGAUGAUGGGACCGUUAGCGUUAGCUAUCUCUCCAGCUGUGGAACUGACAAACUCUGGGGAUUCCCACAGUCACAGUUAAACAUUGACAGUCCACAGGGCAUGUUGUUAAAGUUCAUGCAGAUGGAAAUUGUUCAAACUCACAAAAACAAUUGUGUACUUCUACCUUUGCAAUAUCAGUGUUUCUGUUUAAAAAAUCUUGAUAAAAGCCGUACCUUGUUACAGGAUGUGUACCUACAGGUAUUCAUUAGCACUGAGCCCAUGAUUAGAUCACAGCAGCCCCUCUGACCUAAUAAAUCUAUUUUUAAAUUUGGAGCAUGUCCAACUUCUCAGCAAUACUUCUGCUGACACCUAGGGGGAGUCAAUGGCUUUCGUAAUCUAGCUAACCCCACCUAAUGCUUUGGAGAGAAGGGCUCAAAUCCCACCAUGGCAGCUGGUGAAAUUUGAGUUUAUAAAUCUCUCGUAUAAGGCUAGUCUUAGUGUUGGUGCCAUGAAUCUCCCAUUGACUUUAAUGAAAAUCCCUUUUGGCUCAUACGUUCUUCAGGGAAGAGAAUCUACCAAAUGAUAUCCAGUCUGUUGUUAUGGACUGGAGUCACGUGUCAGUUGAUGUGGUCAACUCUUAAUGAACUUAGGAAGUCAAAUCAGUUCAAGAGCACUUAGGGGAGGGAGCUAUUUCAUAUCCAACCCAUGAAAGAAUUGAAUAAAAAUCCAUAAAGCCAU
Molecule: long non-coding RNA, 3418 nt
Organism: Hemiscyllium ocellatum (epaulette shark)
Lineage: Eukaryota; Metazoa; Chordata; Chondrichthyes; Orectolobiformes; Hemiscylliidae
Exons: 4
Source: RefSeq, a predicted model, not a curated record